GCUUGUCUAGCUCAGUUGGCAGAGCGCAAGGCUCUUAACUUAAGGUCAUGGGUUCGAGCCCCAUCGUGAACA
Zea mays is the source of this 72-nucleotide non-coding RNA. Lineage: Eukaryota; Viridiplantae; Streptophyta; Magnoliopsida; Poales; Poaceae. The record is from Rfam.